RNAcentral lists this ribosomal RNA (1530 nucleotides) under human gut metagenome. Its description in RNAcentral is "bacterial LSU rRNA". It matches the Rfam family "Bacterial large subunit ribosomal RNA", at positions 803 to 2420 of the family's 2925-position model. The record is from RNAcentral.
GAUGAACUGUGGGUAGCGGAGAAAUUCCAAUCGAACCCGGAGAUAGCUGGUUCUCCCCGAAAUAGUUUUAGGACUAGCCUCAAGUUAGAUACCUGGAGGUAAAGCACUGAAUAGCCUAGCGGCCGAGAGGUUAGCGAAGCUUAUCAAACUCAGAAUGCCAGAGUAUUGAUGCUUGGGAGUCAGACAGUGUCAGAUAAAUGUCAUUGUCAAAAGGGAAACAGCCCAGAUCUACAGCUAAGGUCCCAAAGUCAGGUUAAGUGGAAAACGAUGUGAAGAUACGCAGACAACCAGGAUGUUGGCUCAGAAGCAGCCACUCAUUCAAAGAGUGCGUAAUAGCUCACUGGUCGAGCGUCUUUGCGCGGAGAAUUUAACGGGGCUAAACCUGACACCGAAGCUUAGGCAAUCCAGCAAUGGAUUGGGUAGGGGAGCGUUGUAUACGCGGAGAAACAGUAGCGUGAGCGGCUGUGGAGUGUAUAGAAGUGAGAAUGCCGGAAUGAGUAGCGCGAAUGCAGUGAGAAUCUGCAUGGCCGAAAGCCUCAGGUUUUUGGAGGAAGGUUCGUCCGCUCCAAGUUAGUCGGGAGCUAAGGUGAGGCCGGAAGGCGUAGCCGAUGCACAGACGGUAGAGAUUCCGUCACCACCAAAAGAGUUAAGCACAGGGACACAUUUGAAGUCUCAGAGCCGGGUGUUGGUUCCGGUAGAGAUCGAGGGAAGUUAGUACCGAAGUCUGGGAUGGAGGAUGGCGAGAAAAGCUGUGUGUAUUUCUGAGGUGCCCGUACCGCAAACCGACACAGGUAGGUAGGAAGAAGAUUCUAAGGCCAACGGGAGAAGGGUUGUUAAGGAACUCGGCAAAUUGACCCCGUAACUUCGGGAGAAGGGGUGCUCCAGAGAUGGAGCCGCAGAGAAUCGGCCCAAGCAACUGUUUACCAAAAACACAGGUUUGUGCUAAAUCGAAAGAUGACGUAUACGAGCUGACGCCUGCCCGGUGCUGGAAGGUUAAGAGGAGAUGUGCAAGCAUUGAAUCGAAGCCCCAGUGAACGGCGGCCGUAACUAUAACGGUCCUAAGGUAGCGAAAUUCCUUGUCAGGUAAGUUCUGACCCGCACGAAAGGCGUAAUGAUUUGGGCACUGUCUCAACAGCCCGCCCGGCGAAAUUGUAGUACCGGUGAAGAUGCCGGUUACCCGCGACAAGACGGAAAGACCCCAUGGAGCUUUACUGUAGCCUAAUAUUGGGUUUCGAUGUUGCAUGCACAGGAUAGAUGGGACACUAGGAAACAAUCGCUUUGGCGGUUGCGGAGUGGCCGUUGGGAUACCAUCCUUGCGAUAUUGGAAUUCUAACCUGCGGCUCUGAAUCGAGUCGGGGGACAUUGUUAGGUGGGCAGUUUGACUGGGGCGGUCGCCUCCUAAAAAGUAACGGAGGCGUUCAAAGGUUCGCUCAGCUUGAACGGAAAUCAAGCAAAAGAGUGCAAACGCAGAAGCGAGCCUAACUGCGAGACUGACGGGUCGAGCAGUAACGAAAGUUGGAGUUAGUGAUC